RNAcentral lists this transfer RNA (74 nucleotides) under Stegodyphus mimosarum. It matches the Rfam family "tRNA". From Rfam's summary of the family: Transfer RNA (tRNA) molecules are approximately 80 nucleotides in length. Their secondary structure includes four short double-helical elements and three loops (D, anti-codon, and T loops). Lineage: Eukaryota; Metazoa; Arthropoda; Arachnida; Araneae; Eresidae. The record is from Rfam by way of RNAcentral.
GCCUUUGUGGUGUAGGUGGUCAGCAUGCUCGACAUGUAUUCAAGAGGUCCGUGGUUCGAAUCCCGGCAAGCGCA